RNAcentral lists this ribosomal RNA (1198 nucleotides) under metagenome. RNAcentral's name for it is "bacterial SSU rRNA". It matches the Rfam family "Bacterial small subunit ribosomal RNA", at positions 307 to 1520 of the family's 1533-position model. The record is from RNAcentral.
CCCACACUGGCACUGAAACACGGGCCAGACUCCUACGGGAGGCAGCAGUGGGGAAUCUUGCACAAUGGGGGAAACCCUGAUGCAGCGACGCCGCGUGAGCGAUGAAGCCCUUCGGGGUGUAAAGCUCUUUCGGCAGGGAAGAUUAUGACGGUACCUGCAGAAGCAGCUGCGGCUAACUACGUGCCAGCAGCCGCGGUAAUACGUAGGCAGCGAGCGUUGUUCGGAGUUACUGGGCGUAAAGGGUGUGUAGGCGGUUGUUUAAGUUUGGUGUGAAAUCUCCCGGCUCAACUGGGAGGGUGCGCCGAAUACUGAAUAACUUGGAGUGCGGGAGAGGAAAGUGGAAUUCCUGGUGUAGCGGUGAAAUGCGUAGAUAUCAGGAGGAACACCGGUGGUGUAGACGGCUUUCUGGACCGUAACUGACGCUGAGACACGAAAGCGUGGGUAGCAAACAGGAUUAGAUACCCUGGUAGUCCACGCCCUAAACGAUGCAUAUUUGGUGUGGGCAGUUCAUUCUGUCCGUGCCGGAGCUAACGCGUUAAAUAUGCCGCCUGGGGAGUACAGUCGCAAGGCUGAAACUCAAAGGAAUUGACGGGGGCCCGCACAAGCGGUGGAGCAUGUGGUUCAAUUCGACACCACGCGAAGAACCUUACCAGGGCUCGAACGGCUGGUCAACGCCGGUGGAAACAUCGGUACCCCGCAAGGGGGUCCAGUCGAGGUGCUGCAUGGCUGUCGUCAGCUCGUGUCGUGAGAUGUUGGGUUAAGUCCCGCAACGAGCGCAACCCUUGUCCUGUGUUGCCAUACCGAAAGGUGGAACUCGCAGGAGACCGCCAGGGAUAACCUGGAGGAAGGUGGGGAUGACGUCAAGUCCUCAUGGCCUUUAUGUCCAGGGCUACACACGUGCUACAAUGGACGGUACAAAGCGCAGCGAACUCGCGAGAGGGAGCCAAUCGCAAAAAACCGUUCUCAGUUCGGAUUGCAGGCUGCAACUCGCCUGCAUGAAGCUGGAAUCGCUAGUAAUGGCAGAUCAGCACGCUGCCGUGAAUACGUUCCCGGGCCUUGUACACACCGCCCGUCACAUCACGAAAGUGGAUUGUACUAGAAGUCUGCACGCUGACCCGCAAGGGAGGCAGCGGCCCAAGGUAUGAUUCAUGAUUGGGGUGAAGUCGUAACAAGGUAGCCGUAGGAGAACCUGCGGCUG